AUGAGCCAACCCACAGAAGGAUCCAGCGGGGAGGUUAUAUCUUGGGAGUACCUGCUCCAGUUUCUCGCCGCGUACCACCGGCCAGCUCCUCUUCCUCCGGCGUCGCAUCGCCGCGGACGCCGCCGCAGAACCCGGGCCUCAGCAAUCCUCUCCACCCUCCCGGAGCCAGAUGGAGAGUUGGACGGGGAGGUGCAGAUGGACCACUCCUGCUAUGUGGGCACCAGACUGGCUGUGUGCUCCCCCGGAGUUGGCCCAUGGCGUUGGGAAGGAUGCCGGGCUCCACCGUCACCCCUUGUCCCAGGACGGAGCCGCGAGCUCGCCGCUGCCCCAGCUUGGCCCGCCAGCUUGGACCCGCCCCCAAUCAGAUCUGCGGUCCCACCUCCGGUCCAGUCAGCGCCUCUGUCAUCUGCAGGUGAAGGGACCACGCCUACAGCCCAGCAGACAAAGCUCGCCGGCCUCCAGGCGGAGCUUGGCCGGAUCCGUCAGCUCGUCAGCCUCCAGGAGUUCCAGUUGCACACUCUAUCCUCCCCGAAUCACCAGGAGAAGGUUUCGGCCCAGUCAGCAGCUCCCUCGUCUCCAGGCCAAAGGAUCGAGCCUGCAGUCCACCCAGCAGAGCUUGUCGGUCUCCAAGCUGAGCUGGCCCAACUCCAUCAGAGCCUCAGUCUCCAGGAGCUCCAGCUGGACAAUCUAUCCUCCCUGCUCUCCCAGUUACCGGCGCCACCAGUUCAGUCAGCUCCAGUUCCAGCGGUGACCCAAGAGGCUCUUCCCCCAGGCCGGCCUGUCCAGAUGUCAGAGCCCAGUCCGGCGGCUCCAGUCAAGGAAGCGGUCCCGUCUACAGCAGCUCCUCCUCCACUCCCGAAGCCGGCGGUCCAGAAGCCGGCAGUUCAGAAGCUGGUGGUCCAGAAGCCAACGGUCCAGAAGUCGACGCCCCCGGACCAGAAGUCGACGCCCCGGACCAGAAGUCGACGGAGGUCGAUGCCCCCAGCCCUGAGGUCGAUGCCCCUUCGUGUCCAGAAGUCGAUGCCCCUUCGUGUCCAGAAGUCGACACCUCCUCGUGUCCAGAAGUCGACGCCUCCUGGUGUUCAGAAGUCGACGCCUCCUGGUGUUCAGAAGUCGACGCCUCCUAGUGUUCAGAAGUCGACGCCUCCUAGUGUUCAGAAGUCAACGCCUCCUAGUGUUCAGAAGUCAACGCCUCCUAGUGUUCAGAAG
This 1209-nucleotide long non-coding RNA is filed under the name Nothobranchius furzeri (turquoise killifish). RNAcentral's name for it is "lncRNA (ENSNFUG00015024265.1)". Lineage: Eukaryota; Metazoa; Chordata; Actinopteri; Cyprinodontiformes; Nothobranchiidae. The record is from RNAcentral.